RNAcentral lists this ribosomal RNA (301 nucleotides) under uncultured bacterium. Its description in RNAcentral is "partial 16S ribosomal RNA". It matches the Rfam family "Bacterial small subunit ribosomal RNA", at positions 509 to 807 of the family's 1533-position model. The record is from RNAcentral.
CAGCAGCCACGGGAAUACGUAGGGUGCGAGCGUUAAUCGGAAUUACUGGGCGUAAAGCGUGCGCAGGCGGUUUUGUAAGACAGAGGUGAAAUCCCCGGGCUCAACCUGGGAACUGCCUUUGUGACUGCAAGGCUAGAGUACGGCAGAGGGGGAUGGAAUUCCGCGUGUAGCAGUGAAAUGCGUAGAUAUGCGGAGGAACACCGAUGGCGAAGGCAAUCCCCUGGGCCUGUACUGACGCUCAUGCACGAAAGCGUGGGGAGCAAACAGGAUUAGAUACCCCCGUAGUCCCUGUCUCUUAUAC